GCCACGGUGGUCUAGCGGUUAGAACGCUGGCCUCGUAAUCCUGGGGUCACGGGUUCGAUUCCCGGCGGUGCCC
Molecule: non-coding RNA, 73 nt
Organism: Zootermopsis nevadensis
Lineage: Eukaryota; Metazoa; Arthropoda; Insecta; Blattodea; Termopsidae
Source: Rfam